RNAcentral lists this long non-coding RNA (273 nucleotides) under Hordeum vulgare. RNAcentral describes it as "long non-coding RNA (HVUL_LNC008985)". Lineage: Eukaryota; Viridiplantae; Streptophyta; Magnoliopsida; Poales; Poaceae. The record is from RNAcentral.
AAGAAUAUAGCUACCACUAAAUACCAAACAAUAAAAAAUCAACUUCUUCUUCUUUUUUCUCUUCUUCUCCUUCUUAUUUUUUUUCUUAUUCUCUUCUUCUUUACUUCUUCUCCUUCUUAUUUUUUCUUCUCUUCUUCUUCUUCUUCUUCUUCUUCUUUUUCUUCUUAUUCUUCUUCUUCUUCUACUUCUUCUUCUCCUUCUUAUUUUUUUCUUCUCUUCUUAUUCUUCUUCUUCUUCUUCUCCUCUUCCUCCUCCUCCUACUCCUCUUCUUCU